AUCGCUAUGGCUUAGUGGGAAAGCGCGAGGCUCAUACUUCUGUUGUGGUAACGAGAGCCCUCGAUCGAAACGAGGUGGCGAUA
This is a non-coding RNA of Apiotrichum porosum, 83 nucleotides long. The record is from the annotation of a RefSeq genome assembly. NCBI's taxonomy places the organism in Eukaryota, Fungi, Basidiomycota, Tremellomycetes, Trichosporonales, Trichosporonaceae.